Molecule: ribosomal RNA, 503 nt
Filed under: uncultured bacterium
Lineage: Bacteria
Description: partial 16S ribosomal RNA
Rfam family: Bacterial small subunit ribosomal RNA
Source: RNAcentral
AAUGAACGCUGGCGGCAGGCUUAGCACAUGCAAGUCGAGCGGGGUGAUGGUGCUUGCACUAUCACUUAGCGGCGGACGGGUGAGUAAUGCUUAGGAAUCUGCCUAUUAGUGGGGGACAACAUCUCGAAAGGGAUGCUAAUACCGCGUACGUCCUACGGGAGAAAGCAGGGGAUCACUUGUGACCUUGCGCUAAUAGAUGAGCCUAAGUCGGAUUAGCUAGUUGGUGGGGUAAAGGCCUACCAAGGCGACGAUCUGUAGCGGGUCUGAGAGGAUGAUCCGCCACACUGGGACUGAGACACGGCCCAGACGCCUACGGGAGGCAGCAGUGGGGAAUAUUGGACAAUGGGGGGAACCCUGAUCCAGCCAUGCCGCGUGUGUGAAGAAGGCCUUAUGGUUGUAAAGCACUUUAAGCGAGGAGGAGGCUCUUUUGGUUAAUACCCAAGAUGAGUGGACGUUACUCGCAGAAUAAGCACCGGCUAACUCCGUGCCAGCCGCCGCGGUAA